UGCACGUUAUGCACAUGUACCCUAGAACUUAAAGUAUAAUAAUAAUAAAAAAUAAAAUAAAAUAAAAGAAAUAAAGUAAAGGUGGGACUAGCCUCAACCUGGUCCCACAAGGAGCUCUGGAGUAGGAGUUGCACCACAGAGCUGUCCUGCAGAUUGUCAUGGACUACCAGCAGCCUACCCCUCCCAGGGGUGGGUGCAUGAACUUCCAGGCAUCUUCAGCCAGGGUGGUACUUCCUCAGCCAAGAACAGUCCUUCAGAGAAUGGUAAAGGUGCCAGCUGUUAGCAGCUGACACCUGCAGCAUCCGCAGGAUGGGUGCAAUGGCCCCGUGAAGGGAACCAGAGUGGGGCACGGAAGUAUUAACUACAAUUCCUGACCCACCUUCAUUUCUCUUGCCUCCAACAGUCACUCUCUCUAUUACUCUGUUAUGUAUAGUCAUAGCGCUUAUCACUGUCUGGAAAGAGUGGCAUAUUUAUAUAUUUACUGCUUAUUAUCUGUCUCCUUUCCACUAGAUACCAUAAACUCCAGAGCACAUCAGCGUUGCAUCAUCAGUCUCUAAACAAGUGCCUGGCACAUAAUGAGGAAAGUGAGGCAGAGAGAGGUUAAGCCAUAUGCUCAAAAUGACACAGCUGGUAAGAGAUGGAAGCAGAAUUUGAAUCCAGGCAGCCUGAAUCCCAAAUGUGUCACCCGAAAUACUCAGAAUAAAGGCCUCUAUUGAAAGAUGAAGUUAUAGGUGAGGUUGACCAGGCUAACAAGUAAAGACAAUGCAUCCCUCUGGUGGAUCUCACAGUGAACAAAGUCUAUACACUACUCCAAGACACUCGGAAUCUUGAGCGAGCGUGACUCAAUGGGAGACUGUUCCACUGUCAGUUUCUCUUCCAGCCUCCCAUGACUCCAAACCAUUAGGCUGCAGUUUUGACAGUGGCUCCCAAUGGCUUGAAAGUAACUAAUGAGUGAAUGCCAGUGCCCAGUAGAGGUGGAAGACGGCAGUUACAAUUUCUCAAAGAUCAUUUGACUCAUCUUUUGUAAUAUUUCAACAUUUAAUGUAAAACAGCAGGCAAACUGGAGAUUUAUAACCUGAUUCAUUCUAAUUGAUUUCUUGGCUUCCUUGGGUCGAAUUAAUUUUUACUGUGUACCCUAAAAUGGUGCAAUAGGCUUCCUAAAAGCUGUUAGAAGGCAGCUGUAUCAUAGUUUAUAAAAAGCUAACACUUGGCUUUUAUUUGAUAGGUAAAUAGAAAUUGAUUUUGCUGUUGAGGUCCAGAAAUAAAGGAGGAAAAUUGACUCCAGAACUCAAGAGAAGAUCCUGGAUUACUCUGUCUUGGUUUGGGUUCUCCCAGGAGGAGAUUCUGAGACAAGGACUCUGAAUGCAAGUAAUUUUCUGGAAGGUAGUGCCAGGAAACACGCCAGGAAUGGGAAAGUGAGACAGGGAGAGGAGGAAGCCAAAUAGGGGGUGCAUUGUCAUAUAAGUUAUAUUGUGGGCAGCUCGUGUUCAAUCUAUGGAGUUGUCUAGGUUUUAUUCCAACCAGGAACAAAUCACCAAUCACAUCAGUCCUGGGUUGAGGGCUGCUUUUUCACCUUAACUCCAAGCAUUCUGGACGUAGGCCUGGCUGGUUUUGACAGCCAGAGAAAACUCUCCUUCAAAGAGAUGAGAGUGCUUGCACUUGGAGCUGUAGGGUUGGGUCUACCUGGGAAUAAUAAAUGGCAAGGGGAUGUAGACAGAGAACACAUUGUCUGUUACAAUGUCCAAAUAUAAACUGUGCUGCUUUGACCUUUUGUGCAACAGUGAAGUCCCCCUGGUUCCCAGCUGCUUGCUCCUGACCUUGCGUGGAGUUCGUAAUCAAGACUCCUGUGCCACUGACUUGAAGAUCUUUAACUAAGGCUGUUGUCCAUCUUACAUUUUAUAAUACAACACUGUAUCACCAUUUGGAAGAACAUAAAUUAUAACUAUAAAUUACAUAAAUUAAAAGUUACAGCUAUUGACAAGAUUGUGCAGACUAUAAAGUGCUUUUGGAUUUUAUUCAUCAGUGUUCAGAAUACCCCUCAUGGUGACUUGGCUUUGAGUGGAUCCCCCAGUAACAAUCUUUUUGUGAAGAAAAAAAAAAAAAGAAAUGAGAAAAGAGAUGCCCCAUCAAACUGAAAAUUGAGUAGAAGCUUCUGUGUUGCAGUAAUUUUUUUGUGGGCUUAAGAUUUCAUCUUGAAAAUGCAACAUUUGUAUUUAGCAUUGUCAAAGGCAAAAGAGGAAUAAAAUAGUGCCUUCCAGGUCAAUGAAAAAUAAAUCCACCUCCUGAUCAGGCUCUGCUGCUGGCAAGGUAUUGUUCUCUGAGUCUUCUGACUGGUGCUACACAGGCUUUCUUGCCACCUCCCAGGCCCAGCUGCUGUUUGCCCACCUGUGAGCCUUAUUCCUGCCCCAAAACAAGGAAAACAGCAAAAACAGUGUGGCCACUGAGACUGGGCUUAAGGCCCAAGAACAGCUUUCCCUUUGGGUUCUGUUAUUGCCACCAUGAAGCUACUCGUGGAAGCCCAGGAGCAACUGCUUAUUAACCUGUUCCUCUCAACUAUUUGUUUAGGAAUCAUAUGAGUGUAUAGACACUACAGAUGACGAGGAUGAUUUCAAAACCAAACCAUGAUUUAUUUGUUGAUAUUUGGAAAUGUACAUUCAACUUCUUGUGUUUUGUUACACAACUCGAUGACACAUUUUCAUUUUUGUUUUAUUUUAAUAAAGGGUGUGCUCACCGUGUGCCAGACCAUACCAGCACUUGGCAAAUUAAACUCAUCUAGUCUUCAUAACUUCACCGUGGUGUAGGUACUGUUUUUAUUCCCAUUUUACAGAUGGGGAAGUUGAAGCACUGAGAAAUUGUCAUGGUGGUAUUAUCAUGAAAAUAACAUUAAGAUUGAUGAAAUGUAUAUAUUAACUAAUUUUGACUCAUAGGUUAAUCCUUCUGCCCUUCCCUGAUCCUAUCCCAGAUGGCUUUUGGAAUGUUUUCCAAUACACAUUAAAGGGUUUAUCUGUGCUAUCUCUGGAUUCUACUCAGAAGAAUGUUGCCCAGGCUCUGUUAUAGUGAAGGGUAGGUUAUAAAGUCAGCACAUAGUGGAGAAAAUGCCACAGAGUCCAAAUUAACUCUGAAAAUGCUUUCAAAUACCUCAAAAUACUGCAGUGUGGUUGUAUGCUUAUGACCCUCUGUGGUAAUUCUAAGGGAG
Chlorocebus sabaeus (green monkey) is the source of this 3196-nucleotide non-coding RNA. The record is from RefSeq and is a predicted model, not a curated record. NCBI's taxonomy places the organism in Eukaryota, Metazoa, Chordata, Mammalia, Primates, Cercopithecidae.